GUGGGGAAUAUUGGACAAUGGGCGAAAGCCUGAUCCAGCAAUGUCGCGUGAGUGAUGAAGGCCUUAGGGUUGUAAAGCUCUUUUACCCGGGAAGAUAAUGACUGUACCGGGAGAAUAAGCCCCGGCUAACUCCGUGCCAGCAGCCGCGGUAAUACGGAGGGGGCUAGCGUUGUUCGGAAUUACUGGGCGUAAAGCGCACGUAGGCGGCUUUGUAAGUUAGAGGUGAAAGCCCGGGGCUCAACCCCGGAAUAGCCUUUAAGACUGCAUCGCUUGAACGUCGGAGAGGUGAGUGGAAUUCCGAGUGUAGAGGUGAAAUUCGUAGAUAUUCGGAAGAACACCAGUGGCGAAGGCGGCUCACUGGACGACUGUUGACGCUGAGGUGCGAAAGCGUGGGGAGCAAACAGGAUUAGAAACCCUAGUAGUCC
This 425-nucleotide ribosomal RNA is filed under the name uncultured bacterium. RNAcentral's name for it is "partial 16S ribosomal RNA". It matches the Rfam family "Bacterial small subunit ribosomal RNA", at positions 354 to 796 of the family's 1533-position model. The record is from RNAcentral.